Molecule: ribosomal RNA, 608 nt
Filed under: Salmonella enterica
Lineage: Bacteria; Pseudomonadati; Pseudomonadota; Gammaproteobacteria; Enterobacterales; Enterobacteriaceae
Also listed under: 4 other names
Description: partial 23S ribosomal RNA
Rfam family: Bacterial large subunit ribosomal RNA
Source: RNAcentral
CCCUUUGGGGUGUGACUGCGUACCUUUUGUAUAAUGGGUCAGCGACUUAUAUUCUGUAGCAAGGUUAACCGAAUAGGGGAGCCGGAGGGAAACCGAGUCUUAAUUGGGCGUUAAGUUGCAGGGUAUAGACCCGAAACCCGGUGAUCUAGCCAUGGGCAGGUUGAAGGUUGGGUAACACUAACUGGAGGACCGAACCGACUAAUGUUGAAAAAUUAGCGGAUGACCUGUGGCUGGGGGUGAAAGGCCAAUCAAACCGGGAGAUAGCUGGUUCUCCCCGAAAGCUAUUUAGGUAGCGCCUCGUGAAUUCAUCUCCGGGGGUAGAGCACUGUUUCGGCUAGGGGGCCAUCCCGGCUUACCAACCCGAUGCAAACUGCGAAUACCGGAGAAUGUUAUCACGGGAGACACACGGCGGGUGCUAACGUCCGUCGUGAAGAGGGAAACAACCCAGACCGCCAGCUAAGGUCCCAAAGUCAUGGUUAAGUGGGAAACGAUGUGGGAAGGCCCAGACAGCCAGGAUGUUGGCUUAGAAGCAGCCAUCAUUUAAAGAAAGCGUAAUAGCUCACUGGUCGAGUCGGCCUGCGCGGAAGAUGUAACGGGGCUAAACCAUG